RNAcentral lists this transfer RNA (72 nucleotides) under Bos taurus (domestic cattle). It matches the Rfam family "tRNA". From Rfam's summary of the family: Transfer RNA (tRNA) molecules are approximately 80 nucleotides in length. The record is from Rfam by way of RNAcentral. Lineage: Eukaryota; Metazoa; Chordata; Mammalia; Artiodactyla; Bovidae. RNAcentral also lists the same sequence under 5 other names.
UCCCGAGUAGCUCAGCUGGUAAAGAGUCCGCCUGUAGUGCAGGAGACCCUGGUUCAACUCCUGGCUCUGGAA